CAAGAUGAACGCUGGCGGCGUGCUUACACAUGCAAGUCGAACGGGGAUGCCAUUUUCGAGGUGAUUAGUUUACUAAGAGCCAAGAUGUUGGCAUCUUAGUGGCGGACGGGUGAGUAACGCGUGGGUAACCUGCCUUAUACAGGGGGAUAACACUUAGAAAUAGGUGCUAAUACCGCAUAAGCGCACGGGGCUGCAUGGCCCAGUGUGAAAAACUCCGGUGGUAUAAGAUGGACCCGCGUCUGAUUAGCUUGUUGGCGGGGUAACGGCCCACCAAGGCGACGAUCAGUAGCCGGCCUGAGAGGGUGGACGGCCACAUUGGGACUGAGACACGGCCCAAACUCCUACGGGAGGCAGCAGUGGGGAAUAUUGGACAAUGGGGGGAACCCUGAUCCAGCGACGCCGCGUGAGUGAAGAAGUAUUUCGGUAUGUAAAGCUCUAUCAGCAGGGAAGAAAGAAAUGACGGUACCUGACUAAGAAGCCCCGGCUAACUACGUGCCAGCAGCCGCGGUAAUACGUAGGGGGCAAGCGUUAUCCGGAUUUACUGGGUGUAAAGGGAGCGU
This 560-nucleotide ribosomal RNA is filed under the name uncultured bacterium. RNAcentral's name for it is "bacterial SSU rRNA". It matches the Rfam family "Bacterial small subunit ribosomal RNA", at positions 25 to 572 of the family's 1533-position model. The record is from RNAcentral.